RNAcentral lists this unclassified non-coding RNA (682 nucleotides) under Homo sapiens (human). RNAcentral's name for it is "solute carrier family 67 member 1 (ENSG00000276130.4)". The record is from RNAcentral. Lineage: Eukaryota; Metazoa; Chordata; Mammalia; Primates; Hominidae.
GGCAGGCAGGGAGGCCCAGAGAGGCAGGAAGGCCCAGACAGGGAAGGCGUUAGGAGGGGAGGCCCAGACAGGGAAGGCGGCCCCCGGGCCAGUGUGUUCGACCUGAAGGCCAUCGCCUCCCUGCUGCGGCUGCCAGACGUCCCGAGGAUCUUCCUGGUGAAGGUGGCCUCCAACUGCCCCACAGGGCUCUUCAUGGUCAUGUUCUCCAUCAUCUCCAUGGACUUCUUCCAGCUGGAGGCCGCCCAAGCUGGCUACCUCAUGUCCUUCUUCGGGCUCCUCCAGAUGGUGACCCAGGGCCUGGUCAUCGGGCAGCUGAGCAGCCACUUCUCGGAGGAGGUGCUGCUCCGGGCCAGCGUGCUGGUCUUCAUCGUGGUGGGCCUGGCCAUGGCCUGGAUGUCCAGCGUCUUCCACUUCUGCCUCCUGGUGCCCGGCCUGGUGUUCAGCCUCUGCACCCUCAACGUGGUCACCGACAGCAUGCUGAUCAAGGCUGUCUCCACCUCGGACACAGGGACCAUGCUGGGCCUCUGCGCCUCUGUACAACCACUGCUCCGAACUCUGGGACCCACGGUCGGCGGCCUCCUGUACCGCAGCUUUGGCGUCCCCGUCUUCGGCCACGUGCAGGUUGCUAUCAAUACCCUUGUCCUCCUGGUCCUCUGGAGGAAACCUAUGCCCCAGAGGAAGG